RNAcentral lists this ribosomal RNA (448 nucleotides) under uncultured bacterium. RNAcentral describes it as "bacterial SSU rRNA". It matches the Rfam family "Bacterial small subunit ribosomal RNA", at positions 335 to 777 of the family's 1533-position model. The record is from RNAcentral.
ACUCCUACGGGAGGCAGCAGUGGGGAAUAUUGCACAAUGGGGGAAACCCUGAUGCAGCCAUGCCGCGUGUGUGAAGAAGGCCUUGGGUUGUAAAGCACUUUCAGUAGGGAGGAAGGUAGUGUAGUUAACACCUGCAUUAUUUGACGUUACCUACAGAAGAAGCACCGGCUAACUCCGUGCCAGCAGCCGCGGUAAUACGGAGGUGCGAGCGUUAAUCGGAAUUACUGGGCGUAAAGCGCAUGCAGGCGGCCUGUUAAGUCAGAUGUGAAAGCCCGGGGCUUAACCUCGGAAUUGCAUUUGAAACUGGCAGGCUAGAGUCUUGUAGAGGGGUUAGAAUUUCAGGUGUAGCGGUGAAAUGCGUAGAGAUCUGAAGGAAUACCGAGUGGCGAAGGCGGCCCCCUGGACAAAGACUGACGCUCAGAUGCGAAAGCGUGGGAGCGAAACAGGA